UUUUGACAUUCUCUGAUGGAGAGUCUGUGUUUCGGCCACAGAAUCGGUGAUUUAAGUGUCUCUGUCAAAUG
This 71-nucleotide transfer RNA is filed under the name Diplostomum ardeae. RNAcentral describes it as "tRNA-Arg". Lineage: Eukaryota; Metazoa; Platyhelminthes; Trematoda; Diplostomida; Diplostomidae. The record is from RNAcentral.